Molecule: unclassified non-coding RNA, 173 nt
Filed under: soil metagenome
Description: partial internal transcribed spacer 1
Source: RNAcentral
CAAGAAGCCGAAAGGCUACUUAAAACCAUCGCGAACUUAUCCAAGUUGCUUCGGCGGCGCGGCUCCCCUCACGGGGGACCGCAGCCCCCGUCUCUCAGGAGGUAAGGGGCAGCCGCCGGAGGUACGAAACUCUGUAUUAUAGUGGUAUCUCUGAGUAUAAAACAAAUAAGUUA